Small nuclear RNA from Echinops telfairi (small Madagascar hedgehog), 162 nucleotides. Its record names the gene U1. It matches the Rfam family "U1 spliceosomal RNA". From Rfam's summary of the family: U1 is a small nuclear RNA (snRNA) component of the spliceosome (involved in pre-mRNA splicing). Its 5' end forms complementary base pairs with the 5' splice junction, thus defining the 5' donor site of an intron. Lineage: Eukaryota; Metazoa; Chordata; Mammalia; Afrosoricida; Tenrecidae. The record is from Ensembl.
AGACACCUGGCAAGGGAGACACCAUGAUCACGCAGGUGGUUUUCCCUGGGCAAGGCUCACCCAUUGGAGUCCGGGUGUGCUGACUCCUGUGAUUUCCCCGAAUGUGGGAAACUGGACUGCAUAAUUUGUGGUAGUGGGGGACUGCGUUCUCGCUCUCCCCUG